This 522-nucleotide ribosomal RNA is filed under the name uncultured bacterium. RNAcentral's name for it is "bacterial SSU rRNA". It matches the Rfam family "Archaeal small subunit ribosomal RNA", at positions 345 to 866 of the family's 1478-position model. The record is from RNAcentral.
AACCUCCGCAAUGUGAGAAAUCGCGACGGGGGGAUCCCAAGUGCCAUUCUUAACGGGAUGGCUUUUCAUUAGUGUAAAGAGCUUUUGGAAUAAGAGCUGGGCAAGACCGGUGCCAGCCGCCGCGGUAACACCGGCAGCUCUAGUGGUAACAAUUUUUAUUGGGCCUAAAGCGUCCGUAGCCGGUUUAAUAAGUCUCUGGUGAAAUCCUGUAGCUUAACUGUGGGAAUUGCUGGAGAUACUAUUAGACUUGAGACCGGGAGAGGUUAGAGGUACUCCCAGGGUAGAGGUGAAAUUCUGUAAUCCUGGGAGGACCGCCUGUUGCGAAGGCGUCUAACUGGAACGGUUCUGACGGUGAGGGACGAAAGUUAGGGGCGCGAAACCGGAUUAGAUACCCGGGUAGUCCUAACUGUAAACGAUGCGGACUUGGUGUUGGGGUGGCUUUGAGCUGCUCCAGUGCCGAAGGGAAGCUGUUAAGUCCGCCGCCUGGGAAGUACGGUCGCAAGACUGAAACUUAAAAGAAUU